RNAcentral lists this ribosomal RNA (497 nucleotides) under uncultured bacterium. RNAcentral describes it as "partial 16S ribosomal RNA". It matches the Rfam family "Bacterial small subunit ribosomal RNA", at positions 28 to 507 of the family's 1533-position model. The record is from RNAcentral.
GAUGAACGCUGGCGGCGUGCCUAAUACAUGCAAGUCGAGCGAACAGACGAGGAGCUUGCUCCUCUGACGUUAACGGCGGACGGGCGAGUAACAAGUGGAUAACAUAACUAUAAGACUGGGAUAAAUUCGGGAGACCGGAGCUAAUACAGGAUCAUAUAUUGAAACGCAUGGUUUAAUAGUGAAAGACGGUUUUGCUGUCACUUAUACAUGGAUGCGCGCCGGAUUAGCUAGUUGGUAAGGUAACGGCUUACCAAGGCAACGAUGCUUAGGCGACUUGUGAGGGGAACCGGCCACACUGGAACUGAAACACGUCCCAGAUUCCUACGGGAGGCACCAGUAGGGAAUCUGCCGCAAUGGGCGAAAGCCUGACGGAGCAACGCGGCGUGGUGGAGGAAGGUCUUCGGAUCGUAAAACUCUUUUAUUAGGGAAGAACAAAUGUGUAAGUAACUAUGCACGUCUUGACGGUACCAAAACAGAAAGCCACGGCUAACUACGUG